GAGAUUAGGUCGUGCGAUGUUUGUGGCUCGUUUGACGAGCGAUUCGCUUGUGUAGAAGAUUUUGUUCUUGUGAAGACGGAAACAGUAGCGACUUGGGUUUGAAUCGGGUCCUUCGUGUGAAGGAUUUUCGACCAUGUUCUUUAGGUUGUUGCCAACGAAUUUGAAGAGCUUUUCGAAUACUACGCUCGUUUCUGUUUCGUCUAAAGGUCUCAUCUUUUUCUCUCUUACUGUGUUUCUUCUCUGUGAAUUUCAGUUUCUAGGGUUUUAAGACAGUGCUUUGAGUUUGGAAUUGGGGUUUUUGCCUUUUCCGUUAUUUGGAUUUUAUUUUGCGAUAAAAAAUUGGGUUUAAUUCUAAUGGACAUCGUAUGUUAAUGGGCCUCCCAAGGAGAUGACCCAAUGAUGUUGACGGUCUCUGUUACUGGAGCCACUUUUCCCACCCCCUAUAUUAUGAAGAAAAAAUAGUGAUUAUUUUUAACUAGCUUGUGGUGAAAAUGUUACCAACAUUUCAUUGAUCUUAGUAGAACUAGACACAGAUAUCUUUAGUAGUGUCGAAAUGGAGUUGAAACUUGGAAUGAGAAACCCACUAAAUGUAUGUGGACAUUUCACAUGAAUAUUAAAAAAAAAAAAAAAAAAUAGAGUAUAUUUUUGUAUAAGUCUAAUAUAUCAUGAGUAGUAAGCCAUAAAAAUAAAAUUUGUUCUUGUGAAGACGGAAACAGUAGCGACUUGGGUUUGAAUCGGGUCCUUCGUGUGAAGGAUUUUCGACCAUGUUCUUUAGGUUGUUGCCAACGAAUUUGAAGAGCUUUUCGAAUACUACGCUCGUUUCUGUUUCGUCUAAAGGUCUCAUCUUUUUCUCUCUUACUGUGUUUCUUCUCUGUGAAUUUCAGUUUCUAGGGUUUUAAGACAGUGCUUUGAGUUUGGAAUUGGGGUUUUUGCCUUUUC
Molecule: long non-coding RNA, 939 nt
Filed under: Cicer arietinum (chickpea)
Lineage: Eukaryota; Viridiplantae; Streptophyta; Magnoliopsida; Fabales; Fabaceae
Description: long non-coding RNA (CARI_LNC002198)
Source: RNAcentral